CCUACGGGUGGCUGCAGUGAGGAAUAUUGCGCAAUGGGGGAAACCCUGACGCAGCGACGCCGCGUGGAUGAUGAAGGCCCUUGGGUCGUACAAUCCUGUCAGAUGGAAAGAAGUGUUAUGGAGUUAAUACCUCUGUAGCUUGACGGUACCAUCAAAGGAAGCACCGGCUAACUCCGUGCCAGCAGCCGCGGUAAUACGGAGGGUGCAAGCGUUGUUCGGAAUUACUGGGCGUAAAUUGCGCGUAGGCGGGUGAAAGUCCCCGGCUCAACCGUGGAAGGGCAUUUGAAACUGGCAGACUUGAGUAGUGGAGGGGGUGGUGGAAUUCCCGGUGUAGAGGUGAAAUUCGUAGAUAUCGGGAGGAAUACCGGUGGCGAAGGCGACCACCUGGCCAAAUACUGACGCUGAGGUGCGAAAGCGUGGGGAGCAAACAGGAUUAGAUACCCGAUAGUC
Molecule: ribosomal RNA, 450 nt
Filed under: uncultured bacterium
Lineage: Bacteria
Description: partial 16S ribosomal RNA
Rfam family: Bacterial small subunit ribosomal RNA
Source: RNAcentral